Amblyraja radiata (thorny skate) is the source of this 604-nucleotide long non-coding RNA. RefSeq lists it as uncharacterized. The transcript has 4 exons. The record is from RefSeq and is a predicted model, not a curated record. NCBI's taxonomy places the organism in Eukaryota, Metazoa, Chordata, Chondrichthyes, Rajiformes, Rajidae.
CCGAAAAUGUCCUUGCCCUUCUUUAGAUUGAAAGGCAGCAGUCUGCUGAGUAUGUGCAAUGUUGGGACAAUUUCUUAUGCGUCGCAAUAUGUCAAAAAUGUUGAAAAGUACAUCUAGACAAUAAGACAGCUGAGCGAGUACAAAGUGCAACAAAAGUACUAAAGUUGAUGGUGCCAGACCUGCUAUUUCCAGCAUUUGUAUCUUCAGGGUGAGGCUCGGUUGAACGCAGCUGCCAACAGCUUGUUGUCUAUCAAAUGUGGAAGAAUGUCAGUCCUUAAAUGUACAUCGUCAAAGGCAGAAAAGCAGCAAGAUCAUUAAAUCCCGCUGCCAAGGAGGAGAGAGGGGGGAAAGAACUCCAUGAUUUUCAGAAAGGGUCAUUGAUGUCCUAAAAGAGAGCUUCAUGCCAAAAGGGAUGUCUUCUGCACCGUGGUAACUGAAACCGUCACAGCUGCCAUUUGGAGGCGUCUACCAAGCGGUACCCUGUAUUGUCUCGUCAAGGAGUGAAAAUCAUCAGAUUACGAAGCAAUGCUACAAGAAAUCUGAUGACCUGAUUAGAGACGUCAAAUGGCGCAGCGGCAGAGUUGCUGCAUUACAGCACCGGGUG